GAUGAACGCUAGCGAUAGGCUUAACACAUGCCAGUCGAGGGGCAGCAUGGUCUUAGCUUGCUAAGACUGAUGGCGACCGGCGCACGGGUGCGUAACGCGUAUGCAACUUGCCUCACAGAGGGGGAUAACCCGUCGAAAGACGGACUAAUACCGCGUACACUCCAUCUUGGGCAUCCAAGGUAGAGGAAAUGAAAUUCGCUGUGAGAUAGGCAUGCGUCCCAUUAGCUAGUUGGUGAGGUAACGGCUCACCAAGGCGACGAUGGGUAGGGGAACUGAGAGGUUGAACCCCCACACUGGUACUGAGACACGGACCAGACUCCUACGGGAGGCAGCAGUGAGGAAUAUUGGUCAAUGGGCGAGAGCCUGAACCAGCCAAGUCGCGUGAAGGAUGACUGUCUUAUGGAUUGUAAACUUCUUUUAGACGGGAAUAACAAGAGUCACGUGUGACUCCCUGCAUGUACCGUAUGAAUAAGCAUCGGCUAACUCCGUG
This 490-nucleotide ribosomal RNA is filed under the name uncultured bacterium. RNAcentral describes it as "partial 16S ribosomal RNA". It matches the Rfam family "Bacterial small subunit ribosomal RNA", at positions 28 to 507 of the family's 1533-position model. The record is from RNAcentral.